RNAcentral lists this ribosomal RNA (778 nucleotides) under uncultured euryarchaeote. RNAcentral's name for it is "bacterial SSU rRNA". It matches the Rfam family "Archaeal small subunit ribosomal RNA", at positions 124 to 904 of the family's 1478-position model. The record is from RNAcentral. Lineage: Archaea; Methanobacteriati; Methanobacteriota.
GGAUAAUCUCGGGAAACUGAGGAUAAUACUCCAUAGAUCUAGGAUGCUGGAAUGCAUCUAGAUUUAAAGCUCCGGCGCCUAAGGAUGAGUCUGCGGACUAUCAGGUUGUAGUCAGGGUAAAGACCUGACUAGCCUACGACGGAUACGGGUUGUGAGAGCAAUAACCCGGAGACGAUAUCUGAGACACGAUAUCGGGCCCUACGGGGCGCAGCAGGCGCGAAAACUUCACACUGUGCGGAAGCGCGAUGAGGGAAUCCCAAGUGUUUGCUCGUAAGAGCAAACUGUUUCUUUGUUUAAAACGCAGAGAGAGUAAGGGCUGGGUAAGACGGGUGCCAGCCGCCGCGGUAAUACCUGCAGCUCAAGUGGUGAUCAUUAUAUUGGGCCUAAAACGUCCGUAGCCGGUUCAGUAAAUGCCUGGGUAAAUCGUGUAGCUUAACUAUACGACUUCCGGGUAGACUGCUAAACUUGAGACCGGGAGAGGCUAGAGGUACCUCCUGGGGUAGAGGUGAAAUUCUGUAAUCCUAGGGGGACCACCAGUGGCGAAGGCGUCUAGCUAGAACGGGUCUGACGGUGAGGGACGAAGCCCUGGGGCACAAACCGGAUUAGAUACCCGGGUAGUCCAGGGUGUAAACGCUGCUUGCUUGAUGUUAGUUGGGCUCCGAGCCCAACUAGUGUCGGAGAGAAGUUGUUAAGCAAGCUGCCUGGGAAGUACGGUCGCAUGACUGAAACUUAAAGGAAUUGGCGGGGGAGCACAGCAACGGGUGGAGCGUGCGGUUUA